CACGUAGGGCGCAAGCGUUGUCCGGAAUUAUUGGGCGUAAAGAGCUCGUAGGCGGUUUGUCGCGUCUGCUGUGAAAACUCGGGGCUUAACUCCGGGCCUGCAGUGGGUACGGGCAGACUAGAGUGCGGUAGGGGAGACUGGAAUUCCUGGUGUAGCGGUGAAAUGCGCAGAUAUCAGGAGGAACACCGGUGGCGAAGGCGGGUCUCUGGGCCGUAACUGACGCUGAGGAGCGAAAGCGUGGGGAGCGAACAGG
This 253-nucleotide ribosomal RNA is filed under the name uncultured bacterium. RNAcentral describes it as "partial 16S ribosomal RNA". It matches the Rfam family "Bacterial small subunit ribosomal RNA", at positions 524 to 776 of the family's 1533-position model. The record is from RNAcentral.